This 198-nucleotide ribosomal RNA is filed under the name Brachymyrmex sp. MC-1995. RNAcentral describes it as "partial 16S ribosomal RNA". The record is from RNAcentral. Lineage: Eukaryota; Metazoa; Arthropoda; Insecta; Hymenoptera; Formicidae.
UUUUAACUUAAAAUUUAAAUUUAAANUUUUUAAUUAAAACAGUUUAAUUUUCAUUAAUUCCUUCAUUCCAGUUUUCAUUUAAAAAACAAUUGAUUAUGCUACCUUAGCACAGUCAAAAUACUGCGRCUAUUUAAUUAAAAUCAUUGAGCAGAACAAAUCUUAAAAUAUAUUCAAAAAACUAUGUUUUUGAUAAACAGG